CCCCAGAGACAUCAGAGAAUCUGGCAGUAGGGGAAGAGAGUAACACUGAGUAAAAAGGUAAACGACAGUGUGAUUGCUCUACCAUGGGUCCCAUCUCUGCUCAGCACAGACAGAUUCAACUGCGGUUCCACAAAAGCCUCUGCAUUCAAUUGGUCUCCAUUUUUCACCAAGGCCUCAUGUGAUCCCCAGGCUGGCUGUGUCUCCAAAAGCCUAAUAUGGAAGGCUCAAUUCAUGGGAUGAACCUACCUGACUAUUAAAAUAGCAAAAGCAUUUACUAAGGUAUACUUAAAAACCAUUAUACGACGGGAAGACUUUCUGCUUAUAGCAUCAUUUUUGCCUAGAACGGCCAUGACUGCAGCCUUAUGUCAACCUAACUCACACAAUACACAACCCAUGGGGAAGUAUGGUCGUUACUGCCAUGCGCCUCCUUAUGGAGGAGGAAGAUGGGCCCAGAGAAGUUAGGUAACUUAUCCAAGGACACAGGAGGCUAUAAUGACUCCCUCUGCCAGCAAUCAUCCUACUCUGAGUAGUCCUCUGUGGAGAACAUGGCCUGUCCCAACUCCUACUGAUGUGGUACCAGUAGAGCUCCCCACCAGGGAAACAAGUUCUUCAGUUCAUUCACUAGUAUUUUUUCUGUAAGCAUGUGAUUGUUGAAAGAAAAAAAAAAAAAGUCUGUCAUCUACUGCACAUAUAUUCAAAUAUUUUAUAUGUAGUGAAGCUUAAGAGAGCCCCCAUCUCCUAUGUGUGACCUGUGGCUAUGUGAUGGCCGUGACCCUGAGGCUCCUCAUACGUGGAAAGGAAAGAAUGUGUCCAAUUUGUAAGGUUCUUGUGAGAAUUUGAUUGAUGAAGGAUACCACUUAAUAGUAUUUGGCACACAUAGCAGGAAUCCACAGUGUCUGGAGAUUGGGUCUAAAUUCCCUGGAAAGACAAUGAAAUAAUUUUAUAUAUUAAAACAAUGUAGCUAUGGAUUUCAAGCUCCGAGAUGAAAAAUCUAUCAAAAUCUUUGUGUGAAGUAUGGCAUUUUUAUGUGUUUUAAAUUCAAUCAUGUUUAAAUGCUCAAUAUUAGUGAUUAUUAUAUUAAGAAGCAAUUUUAAAUAAUCAGAAUUUGUAAGUAAAUUUGUAAAUGUAUUUGAGCCUUAUCUCACAGUGUUUGCAAUUAUUAUAAAAUAAAAAUUUUACUGAAUCCUUAAAA
This is a long non-coding RNA of Canis lupus familiaris (dog), 1192 nucleotides long. RefSeq lists it as uncharacterized. The record is from RefSeq and is a predicted model, not a curated record. The transcript is spliced from 4 exons. Lineage: Eukaryota; Metazoa; Chordata; Mammalia; Carnivora; Canidae.